GGCCGCGGGAAUUCGAUUAGAGUUUGAUUAUGGCUCAGGCCUAACGCUGGCGGCGUGCUUAACACAUGCAAGUCGAACGGAGUGCUCCGGAAAGAGAUUUCGGUCAAUGGAUGGAGUUACUUAGUGGCGGACGGGUGAGUAACGCGUGAGGAACCUGCCUUUCAGAGGGGGACAACAGUUGGAAACGACUGCUAAUACCGCAUAACGCAUGGGUAUCGCAUGGUAUCUGUGCCAAAGAUUUAUCGCUGAGAGAUGGCCUCGCGUCUGAUUAGCUAGUUGGUGAGGUAACGGCCCACCAAGGCGACGAUCAGUAGCCGGACUGAGAGGUUGGCCGGCCACAUUGGGACUGAGAUACGGCCCAGACUCCUACGGGAGGCAGCAGUGGGGAAUAUUGGGCAAUGGGCGCAAGCCUGACCCAGCAACGCCGCGUGAAGGAAGAAGGCUUUCGGGUUGUAAACUUCUUUUAAGAGGGAAGAGCAGAAGACGGUACCUCUUGAAUAAGCCACGGCUAACUACGUGCCAGCAGCCGCGGUAAUACGUAGGUGGCAAGCGUUGUCCGGAUUUACUGGGUGUAAAGGGCGUGUAGCCGGGCUGACAAGUCAGAUGUGAAAUUCCGGGGCUCAACCCCGGACCUGCAUUUGAUACUGUUGGUCUUGAGUAUCGGAGAGGCAGGCGGAAUUCCUAGUGUAGCGGUGAAAUGCGUAGAUAUUAGGAGGAACACCAGUGGCGAAGGCGGCCUGCUGGACGACAACUGACGGUGAGGCGCGAAAGCGUGGGGAGCAAACAGGAUUAGAUACCCGGUAAUCCCCGCUGUAAACAAGGAUACUAGGUGUGCGGGGACUGACCCCUGCGUGCCGCAAUUUAAACAUUAAGUAUCCCCCCUGUGGGAGACCAAUCCCCAAGGUUUAAACU
Molecule: ribosomal RNA, 912 nt
Filed under: uncultured bacterium
Lineage: Bacteria
Description: partial 16S ribosomal RNA
Rfam family: Bacterial small subunit ribosomal RNA
Source: RNAcentral